RNAcentral lists this transfer RNA (74 nucleotides) under Candidatus Woesebacteria bacterium GWB1_43_5. RNAcentral's name for it is "tRNA-Gly". It matches the Rfam family "tRNA". Rfam says of the family: Transfer RNA (tRNA) molecules are approximately 80 nucleotides in length. Their secondary structure includes four short double-helical elements and three loops (D, anti-codon, and T loops). Further hydrogen bonds mediate the characteristic L-shaped molecular structure. tRNAs have two regions of fundamental functional importance: the anti-codon, which is responsible for specific mRNA codon recognition, and the 3' end, to which the tRNAs corresponding amino acid is attached (by aminoacyl-tRNA synthetases). tRNAs cope with the degeneracy of the genetic code in two manners: having more than one tRNA (with a specific anti-codon) for a particular amino acid; and 'wobble' base-pairing, i.e. permitting non-standard base-pairing at the 3rd anti-codon position. The record is from RNAcentral. Lineage: Bacteria; Candidatus Woeseibacteriota.
GCGGGAUUAGUUAAACGGCUUAAUACCACCUUCCCAAGGUGGGGAAACGGGUUCGACUCCCGUAUCCCGCUCCG